This is an RNA transcript of Vespula vulgaris, 9255 nucleotides long. It is a transcript of the gene named solute carrier family 25 member 44, with no coding region annotated. NCBI's taxonomy places the organism in Eukaryota, Metazoa, Arthropoda, Insecta, Hymenoptera, Vespidae. The transcript has 14 exons. The record is from RefSeq and is a predicted model, not a curated record.
UUCGUGGCACGCGUCGCAACCGAGCUUCGUCCUCUCGUUAAUUGCAGUUAAUUAGAAUAGUUUAUUUAACGUGUACCAUUAUUUUACAUAUCGAUCGAAUGUCGAAAAAGCGAUAUCCGCGUGUGAAUUUAUUAACAUCGAUCACGCUCGACUACGAAAUAAAACUUAUUCUACUGCGUUCCUUAACAUAACAUAACCAUACAGGCCAUCGUUAUUUUUCAUUAUAGAAUGGGAGAGGUACGACGUCUGGAUUUUCGUCUUUAAUUUUACUUAUUUACAAUAAGAAAUGGUGUUGGACACAGGACGAUGAGUGAUCGAAACAACAAACACGUGGGGAAGCCAUUGUAAAGAUGACGUAACGCGUACGCGGGACGGUCCAUAGCUUCCUUCCUGCCGCUUAAUCCGCCAUUCCGAAUUAGUUCGUGGCACGCGUCGCAACCGAGCUUCGUCCUCUCGUUAAUUGCAGUUAAUUGGAAUAUUUUAUCUAACGUACGUUCUAAUUUUGUAUAUCGAUCGAACGUCGAAAACACUAUUUCCACGGGUGAAUUUAUUAACAUCGAUCACGCUCAACUACGAAAUAUAUUCUACUGCGUUCCUUAACCUAACAACCAUACAAGCCAUCGUUAUUUUCGAUGAUAGAAUGCGAGAGGUACGACGUCUGGAUUUUCGUCAUCAAUUUUACUUAUUUACAAUAAUAAAUGGUGUUCGACAUAUAACGACGACUGAAUGGGAGAGGUACGACGUCUGGAUUUUCGUCUUCAAUUUUACUUAUUUACAAUGAGAAAUGGUGUUGGACACAUGACGACGAGUGAUCGAAACAACAAGCACGUGGGGAAGCCAUUGCAAAGCUGACGUAACGCGCAUGCGCGACGAUACAGCUUCCUUGUUGCCGCUUAAUCCGCCAUUCUGAAUCAGUUCGUGGCACGUGUUCCAACCAAGCUUCGUCCUCUCGUUAAUUGCAGGAUGGAAGAGGUACGAUGUUCGGAUUAUCAAUUUUACUUACGUACGAUAAGAAGUGAUAUUCGAUACAGGACGACGAGUGGGCGUAGAUUCUGUAAAUUUGUUCGUCAGCGUUAACAACACAGUGUGGCCCAUGUUCCUAGAAAGAAGCAAGAAUGAUUUGGCUAGAGUUCAACAGAGUAGACGUCUUCCGUUUAAGUUUAUACAUUCAUUCUUCGAUUAAGCAGUGUUCUUUCAGCGAAACUUCUUUUAGUAAUUUGCCGUCAGAGUAUAUUUUUUGUUCGAUUGUACAUUUUUUGGGAAGUGCGUUUUAUAUACGUGGAAUAGUUGAUAAUUCGGAAUUCAUUCAAAUUGAUUAACGUUGAUGUAACAUUUCUUUAAUUUUACAUUAGUGGAUUUUACAUGGAUUCUUUCAACCUUCAUCGUCGUCAUGUGAUUAAUAAUCGACAUCAUCAGGAUAGGGAGGAGUUGUGCACGGUCGUCACCGCGCAGUUGAAUCUUUCUAGACGCAACCCACUUUUUAUCGAGCACUUGUUUAUGGUCGAGAUUUGUCUCGUACCAUUUUCUGUGCAUUUACGCUGGUUGCUCUGCCUUCGUCCAGCAUUAUAAAAUAACCGAGGACAUUCUACUCUCCUCCUUAUUUUUUAGACCUGCUUCAGAUGUCGUUAAUUGAUCUCACGUCGAGGACGAUCGAUGGGAAAAUCUAUGUACGCGAACGCGCUUAAUCUACAUUAUUUUAACGAGUCGACGUCCGUCUUGGAAUAUCACUGCGAAAUAAAAAUUGUAGACUUUUCGUUGAUAGUACAUGACAGAACGAAUACUGCUUAAAUCACGGAGUGGAUGUAUCAUUCGACGGAUCGUUUCCUGAUUGCUGUAAUGCGGUUGACAGUUCUUUAGCCAUCGAAAUGUUACAAGCACGUGGGGAAGCCAUUGCAAAGGUGACGUAAUGCGCAAGCGCAGCGGUCCACAGCCUCCUUGCUGCCUCAGAAUCCACCAUUUUGAAUAAUGAUUGGCACGUGUUAUGAUCAAGCUUUUUUCUUGCAGGGCGUAGAUUCUGUAAAUUUGUUCGUCAGCGUUAACAACACAGUGUGGCCCAUGUUCCUAGAAAGAAGCAAGAUUGAUUUGGCUAGAGUUCAACAAAGUAGACGUCUUCCGUUUAAGUUUAUACAUUCAUUCUUCGAUUAAGCAGUGUUCUUUCAGCGAAACUUCUUUUAGUAAUUUGCCGUCAGAGUAUAUUUUUUGUUCGAUUGUACAUUUUUUGGGAAGUGCGUUUUAUAUACGUGGAAUAGUUGAUAAUUCGGAAUUCAUUCAAAUUGAUUAACGUUGAUGUAACAUUAUUUCUUUAAUUUUACAUUAGUGGAUUUUAUAUGGAUUCUUUCAACCUUCAUCGUCGUCAUGUGAUUAAUAAUCGACAUCAUCAGGAUAGGGAGGAGUUGUGCACGGUCGUCACCGCGCAGUUGAAUCUUUCUAGACGCAACCCACUUUUUAUCGAGCACUUGUUUAUGGUCGAGAUUUGUCUCGUACCAUUUUCUGUGCAUUUACGCUGGUUGCUCUGCCUUCGUCCAGCAUUAUAAAAUAACCGAGGACAUUCUACUCUCCUCCUUAUUUUUUAGACCUGCUUCAGAUGUCGUUAAUUGAUCUCACGUCGAGGACGAUCGAUGGGAAAAUCUAUGUACGCGAACGCGCUUAAUCUACAUUAUUUUAACGAGUCGACGUCCGUCUUGGAAUAUCACUGCGAAAUAAAAAUUGUAGACUUUUCGUUGAUAGUACAUGACAGAACGAAUACUGCUUAAAUCACGGAGUGGAUGUAUCAUUCGACGGAUCGUUUCCUGAUUGCUGUAAUGCGGUUGACAGUUCUUUAGCCCACGUGGGGAAGCCAUUGCAAAGGUGACGUAAUGCGCAAGCGCGGCGGUCCACAGCCCCCUUACUGCCUCAGAAUCCUCGUUGAUUGCAGAAUGGAAGAGGUAGGACGUCCAGAUUUUCGUCAUCAAUUUUACUUAUUUACAAUAAUAAAUGGUGUUCGACACACAACAACGACUGGAUGUAGACGUGAUUUCUUUCGUUAUUGUUGACAUUACAUCGUGGCUAGUUUUCUUAAAAAUAAGCAAGAUGAAUUUAGUUACAUUCGAACAGAAUUGACAUCUUGACAGUACGAACGCUACUUACAUCGUGGAAGGAAGCGUUCCUUGAUCUAACAACCAGCUAAGGAAUCAUUAUUUUCGAUGAUAGAAAGAAAGAAAUAUAAAGUUCAAAAUUUUCGUCAUCAGUUUUACUUAUCUAUGAUAAGCAAUGGUAUUGGACACAGGACGACAACUGAUAAGCAAUAGUUGACAUAUAUUAUUAUUUAUUUUCACGUUACCCUUUACGAUAACGUUUAGCUAAUUCUACAUUUAUUUUUUCAGGUUAUAGGCAUUGCGAUUUCGUCCGUUAUUGUUAACAAUGCAUCGUGGCCCGUGUUCCUUGAAAUAAGCAUGGUGAAUUUAGUUACAGUCGAACAGAAUUGACAUCUGUUUACACAUUCAUUCUUCGAUUAAACAGUGUUCUGUUAACGAUACUUUUACAUCCGAGUAUAUUUUUCUUCCGAUUACAUUUUUCAUUUAAUAUACAUCGAGUAGCUGAUAAUUCAAAGUUUAUUCAAGUUGGAUAACGUUAUCGUAACUUCAUUCCUUUAAUCGAUGAAAAAAUCUAUUUAAGCGAACGCGUCUUAAAUAACACUAUUUCAACGAAUCAUAUGGUCUCUCUUGAAAUAUCGCUGCGAAAUAGAAACGAUAGGCUUUUCGUCGAUAGUAUACGACAGAACGAACACUGUUUAAAUCGAAAUAUAUGUGUUAAUUGGGUCGUGGAUUCCCGGAUAGCAGUUCCUAAGUAUCACGCUCGUUAGAGCAAGAUGGUUCUUUAUUCUCUUGUCUGAUGAGGAAUACUUAACAUUUUGAUAUUUUUAUUAUAACACUAUUUUUAUUAACUUUGUUAAUUUUUUUUUUUUUUUUUUCUUUUAGGAAGCCUAUGUUGUAAUUUCGUUCUACUGUUUGGAUACGGAUAAAAGAACAAUUCAACGCUCUAGUUGGAAAUGGUCUUUGUAAAAUUGCGACUCAUGGAAAGCCUCCUUCCUCUAGGAUCUAUCAUGAAUAUGAAGAUGAGAAAGGAAAGGAAAGGAGCCAGGAAGAUGCGAUGGAAGCAAUAACGAAGGAUGGAAUCUUGAAGAAUCUUCCAUUGGAUUAAAAUCAGCAGGAAAACAACGCUUCCUUCAUUUUACCGAACCGAAAGAAGACUCGCCUCUCCUUCGUGCGUAUUGCUUCUUUAAAUCUGCUUAAGCUCCAACGUUCUACGUAAUUCUCGGCGAUUUUGCGCACCCCUAAGCGUUUCUGCGUGACACCCUAAGCGAUCCUGCGAUACCCUAAGCGUUUCUGCGAUACCCUGAGCGUUUCUGCGAUACCCUGAGCGUUUCUGCGAUACCCUGAGCGUUUCUGCGACACCCUGAGGGUUUCUGCGACACCCUGAGCGUUUCUGCGAUACCCUGAGCGUUUCUGCGACACCCUGAGGGUUUCUGCGACACCCUGAGCGUUUCUGCGACACCCCCGAGCGUUUCUGCGACACCCCCGAGCGUUUCUGCGACACCCCCGAGCGUUUCUGCGACACCCCCGAGCGUUUCUGCGACACCCCCGAGCGUUUCUGCGACACCCCGAGCGUUUCUGCGACACCCCGAGCGUUUCUGCGACACCCCGAGCGUUUCUGCGACACCCCGAGCGUUUCUGCGACACCCUGAGCGUUUCUGCGACACCCUCAGCGUACCUGCGCAAUCCCUAACGUCGUAUUCUGUUCAAUUCUCAGCGUUUUGCGUAACCACCAGCAUUUCAAACGAUUCCCCUGCUUUAGUCUUGCGCAUAAUUGCGAUGUUUUACGAAAAAUUACAAGAUAGAAACAAAUUUGUUAGAAUCAUUGUUAUAAUAUUGUUGGAGUUUAUAGAGCGUUGAAAAAAUGAAACUUCAAUUGGAAGGUAGUACAUCAGUUGAUUUUUUCUUUCCGGAAUGUUAACAUAAAAUUGUUUUAUACUUCACAAGAUAUUACGUGCGGUGCAACGUUUAAGCGGUUGUAUUAUUGUUUAAAUCUUAUUUUAUAUCGACCAAUCGUAUAUUAUAGAUUCUUUAAAUAAUUGUAAAGUGAUAGAAAGCAUACAUAAACUUGGGUGCGUUAAGAAAACUAUUAUUUAAGUAUAAUUUUAUAUCGAACAAACGUAUAUUGUAAACCGUUUAAAUAAUUAUAUAGUGAUAAGAAGCGUAUAUAAACAAUGGUGCGUUGAGAAAAAUAUUUAAAUAUAAUUUUAACUCGAGUAAACGUAUAGUAUAGAAUGUUCAAAUAAUUAGUUAAACUAAUAGAAAGUAUACAUAAAUUCUGAUGCGUUGAGAGAAUUAUCGUUUAAUUAUAAUUUUAUACCGAACAAACGUAUAUUGUAAAAUUGUUUAAAUAAUUGUAAAGUGAUAGAAAGCAUACAUAAAUUUGAUGCAUUAAGAGAAUUUUAGACCACCGUUGGGCGUAUCGAAAACCGUCGUCCAGUAUUUAUCCGUAACAACAAACAUCUUUUUAGACAAUUCUUAGGAUAUCGCGUGACCCCAGCUUCGCGAAUAAUUGAAAUGCUCAUAUACUAAAAAAGAAAAAAUAUUAUUUUUAUCAUUGUAAUAAGAAAGCGUCGAAAAAAAGGAAGGCAGUAUGUAAGCAGAUUUCUGUUCUGCGAAACGUUCGAUUAAAAUUAUUUUCUACGUACUACGAGCGGUAUAAAGCUUGAGCGGCGGGGUUGUAUUCUGUAAAUAUUAGUUUGAUACUACCGAGCGUACAUAUGUAGCGUACAUUGCUUAAAUGAUUGUAAAACUACAAAAAAUAAAAAUGAUCUAGGUUUAGCGCGGUUCAACGCGGUCCAACGCGUGUACCGGAAAUUUUAGGGCAUGGUAGAGCGUUUCAACUACCGUGAAUCCAUUCGUGCGUAAUUAAGCGUGUUGCGUAAUUCCGAACAGAUUGGCGUAACCCUUAGAAAUAUUGCGUAAACCCCUAACCCUUAUUUAGGUAAAUUCUCUGGCUCUGCCAGACGCAACGCAGCGAUUUCGCCCACUACGUGGUUUGGCGUAAGUAUCCAUUUGGCAAGGUAUGGUUUUUUUACACGUAAGUCCUAUCGAUUUUUCGUAACGUCCGACGUGGACACCCAGAGUUUUGUCUUUUUCAGGUUAUCUGCAACCUCGGAGUUAUUCAUUUACCUACAUACUAUCGAGAUUACUGAAGCGAUGGUAUUUUUUUGCAUAAUGUUAAGGGCAUUGCGUCGUUUUGAACGAAUGCGCGUAAUCAGUAGUUUCUUUUUUUUUUUGUAUGAAGCCCACCGUAUCUAUAUAAUCCUUACAAAUUUUGUGUAAACCUUUGCGUGUAUUCAGCCGAACUUCUGUGGUCUAACUUCGGUGUAAUCCAGACGCGACCCAACGAUUUGCAGUAAGUAUUUUUCUCACUUAAAUGCCUUUAUGUUCGUUCCGUAAUUCUACGCGUGUUGCGUAAAUUGCAUAGUAUCUGCAACCCGCAGCUCAUUUUCCUAGGUACCAGCGGAGUUAUUUAAACUGCGGCAUUUUUUUUUUUCAUAGUUCGGGAUAUUUUCGUUUUAUCCGAAGAAUCCGCGUUUUUAUAUAGCCUAACGUCUCUGUGUAAACCGUGGCGUGUAUUUAGCUUCAUUUUAGCGUGUCUACUUAACUCUAACGUUUCCACAUUAUCACUUAGUUAUCGACCGUAUUUUUUUUUUUAACGUGAUCUCUAUUCGUCGCGUAAUUCUUCGCGUAUAUAGUAAUUUGGAAGGUAUUUAGAGCCCUAGCUUAUUUUCCAUGAUACUUGAUGGGUUACUUACCAGACAGAAUAUUUGCAUAGUCCCAGGAGUACUUCCGAUGAAUCGUUGCAAUGUCCAACUUCUUUACAACGCCAAGCGAUUUUGCGAAACCUUUGCACGAUUUGAAAGCCCUAGUGUAACGUAACGUAGCGUAACGUAUUUUUACAUAACGAUCCCGAGAUUUGUCGAAAGUACUUGUUUUUUCUUUUUUCAUAAUGGUUGUCGGAGGUUUUUCUUUUUGACAUUCUUAACAGCUGCGUUAUUCGUAGAAUACUCUAAGCAGCUUAUUUUCGUAGAUACUAGCUAGGUUAUUGAAACGACAGCAUUUUUUCUUUUUUUCUUUUUUAUAAUUCGUAGGGCACUCGUUAGAUCCGACGAAUCUGCCUAAAUACUAGGAUUUUACUCGUAGAUGACCGUGUACUUUCAUGUGUAUCUGCAACUAUCAGCUUAUUAAUCGAAGAUAUUACCGAGGUUAUAUGAUCGACUGUAUUUAUUUUGCGUAAUCUGUGGGGCACUCGCGUUAUUUCCGAAGAAUCUGCGUAAAUACUAGGGUUUUCAGGAAAUGCAGCGUUUCUGUGUAAUCCUUGUAGAUUUGGCGUCGGUAAUAGGGCGUAUUUAGGUAGCCUCCGAGAGUGCGGCGUAAUCCGAUUGUUUCCGCGUUACCACCCUGUGAUUUCGCGUAAGUACUUGCAUUUAUACGUAAUACUUGUGUAAAUUCCUGUCGGUUUUCGAUAACUCGUGGAUGACCGUGUAGUUCCCGUGUAUUUACAACUGUCGGCUUAUUAAUCGAAGAUAUUACCGAGGUUAUAUGAUCGACUGCAUUUUUUUUUGCAUAAUCUGUGGGGCACUCGCGUUAUUUCCGACGAAUCUGCGUAAAUACUAGGGUUUUCAGGAAAUGCAGCGUUUCUGUGUAAUCCUUGUAGAUUUGGCGUCGGUAAUAGGGCGUAUUUAGGUGGCCUCCGAGAAUGCGGCGUAAUCCGAUUGUUUCCGCGUUACCACCCUGUGAUUUCGCGUAAGUACUUGCAUUUAUACGUAACACUUGUGUAAAUUCCUGUCGGUUUUUCGAUAACUCGUAGAUGACGUGUAGUUCCCGUGUAUUUACAACUGUCGGCUUAUUAAUCGAAGAUAUUACCGAGGUUAUAUGAUCGACUGCAUUUUUUUUGCAUAAUCUGUGGGGCACUCCCGUUAUUUCCGACGAAUCUGCGUAAAUACUAGGGUUUUCAGGAAAUUCAGCGUUUCUGUGUAAUCCUUGUAGAUUUGGCGUCGGUAAUAGGGCGUAUUUAGGUGGCCUCCGAGAAUGCGGCGUAAUCCGAUUGUUUCCGCAUUACCACCCUGUGAUUUCGCAUUUGGCGUCGGUAAUAGGGCGUAUUUAGGUGGCCUCCGAGAAUGCGGCGUAAUCCGAUUGUUUCCGCAUUACCACCCUGUGAUUUCGCGUAAGUACUUGCCUUUGUACGUAAUACUUGUGUAAAUUCCUGUCGGUUUUCGAUAACUCGUAGAUGACCGUGUAGUUCCCGUGUAUUUACAACUGUCGGCUUAUUAAUCGAAGAUAUUACCGAGGUUAUUUAAUCGACUACAUUUUUUUUGCAUAAUCCGCGGGGCACUCGUUAUAUCCGACGAAUUUGCGUAACUACUAGCAUUUUCAUAAAGUCCGGCAUUUCUGCGUAACCUACAGAUUUUACAAAAAUCUAAGUACGCAAUCUACAGCGUGGGACAUAACCCCACUGUUUUCGCUUUACCAUCCGGUGAUUAGAAGUAUUUGUCCGUUUUCUUUUUAGGUAAUCCCUCGGUUUUUCAAUAGUUCCUAACGUACCGACGUAGUUCCUAGGUUUAUCAGCAAUACCCAGGUUAUUUUUUUAGAUACUAGCGAGGUUACUUAAACGACAUUUUUGGCCUCCGAGCUUUCUCCGUAAUCUCAUUUUUUUCCAGGAUAUCUGUAACGAUCAGCUUAUUAAUUCUAGAUAUUAACGAGGUUAUUUAGUCGAUAGCAUUUUUGAAUAGUCCCUGAGGCGGUUGCAUUAUUUACGUAGACUAUACGAACUACCAGCAUCUUUAUAAAGCUCAUCGUUUCUGGGUAACCCUUACAGAUUUUGGCUUAUCCGACUGGCGAUUUGAAGUAAGUAUUUGUGCUUUAUUUUUUAUUCUUAUGUAAUAUCUGUCUUCAAUAAUUAUUAAUAUACCGACGUAAUUUCUAGGUUAUCCGUAGUACCCAUCUUAUUUCCCUAGAUUCUAGAGAGGUUACUUAAACGACAACAUUGUUGUAUAAUCCCAGGGGCAUAUUCGUUAUUUCUUACGAAUCAAGUAACGACCAGCGUUUUCAUAAAGUGCAGCAUUUCUGUAUAUUCUCAUAGAUUUGUCGUCAAUCCCAGAACGUAUUUAGGUGGCCUCCGAGCGUCAGGCGUAACGUCAUAGUGUCUGCAUAAGCGAAUAAAUUUGUUUUUACCUAA